CCGCGCCUACGGGGCGCAGCAGUGGGGAAUAUUGCACAAUGGGGGAAACCCUGAUGCAGCAACGCCGCGUGAGUGAGGAAGUAUUUCGGUAUGUAAAGCUCUAUCAGCAGGGAAUAGAAAAGAAGGUACCUGAAAAAGAAGCCCCGGCUAACUACGUGCCAGCAGCCGCGGUAAUACGUAGGGGGCAAGCGUUAUCCGGAUUUACUGGGUGUAAAGGGAGCGUAGACGGAAAGGCAAGUCAGAAGUGAAAGCCCAAGGCUCAACCAUGGGACUGCUUUUGAAACUGUCAAACU
This 293-nucleotide ribosomal RNA is filed under the name uncultured bacterium. RNAcentral describes it as "partial 16S ribosomal RNA". It matches the Rfam family "Bacterial small subunit ribosomal RNA", at positions 332 to 642 of the family's 1533-position model. The record is from RNAcentral.